This 510-nucleotide ribosomal RNA is filed under the name uncultured bacterium. RNAcentral describes it as "bacterial SSU rRNA". It matches the Rfam family "Bacterial small subunit ribosomal RNA", at positions 264 to 765 of the family's 1533-position model. The record is from RNAcentral.
CUCACCAAGGCGACGAUCCGUAGCUGGUCUGAGAGGACGACCAGCCACACUGGAACUGAGACACGGUCCAGACUCCUACGGGAGGCAGCAGUGGGGAAUUUUGGACAAUGGGGGGCAACCCUGAUCCAGCCAUUCCGCGUGAGUGAAGAAGGCCUUCGGGUUGUAAAGCUCUUUCAGCAGGAACGAAACGGUGGCCACUAAUACUGGCUACUAAUGACGGUACCUGAAGAAGAAGCACCGGCUAACUACGUGCCAGCAGCCGCGGUAAUACGUAGGGUGCGAGCGUUAAUCGGAAUUACUGGGCGUAAAGCGUGCGCAGGCGGUUCCAUAAGACAGAUGUGAAAUCCCCGGGCUUAACCUGGGAACUGCGUUUGUGACUGUGGGACUCGAGUGUGGCAGAGGGGGGUGGAAUUCCACGUGUAGCAGUGAAAUGCGUAGAGAUGUGGAGGAACACCGAUGGCGAAGGCAGCCCCCUGGGUCAACACUGACGCUCAUGCACGAAAGCGUGGG